UCGUAGUGACAAGUAGUGUGUGCAAGAGUGUUUCUUUAAAUAAUUAAAACACUUGUAAGUAGUGUUGUUUGUGGUGGUAAUGUUAAUACAUAAUUGUUAGGAUGCGUGAAAUUACAUAUCGUUGCGUGUGUUAUAAUAUAUGUGCUGUGAUAACGUUGUAUUAGCAGUGAAAUACGAGGUUGAUACAUCGGAAUGGAACACGCUACAUCAUCAUCUCCUUCAGCCAUAGCCGUGCGACCUUGAAACCGCUCUACUGUCAGAGGGGCUGACAGAGGAUUCCCCACCCAGUGACUUGGACGCUCCAGAACGUUUUAUGAAGUCGAAGGCAUCUGAAAACACGACAAAUUUCUAGGUUGAUGCAGUUUAUUAAUAACUCUGUGUUAACCUUGAUGAAGGAGGCAGAAAUAGUCUCCGAAUAAUUGAACUGGAACUCCGUGCCUGGCUGAUAACCCAAGAAGACUUCAUUGUA
Zootermopsis nevadensis is the source of this 469-nucleotide long non-coding RNA. RefSeq lists it as uncharacterized. The record is from RefSeq and is a predicted model, not a curated record. Lineage: Eukaryota; Metazoa; Arthropoda; Insecta; Blattodea; Termopsidae.